Non-coding RNA from Podarcis lilfordi (Lilford's wall lizard), 76 nucleotides. The record is from the annotation of a GenBank genome assembly. NCBI's taxonomy places the organism in Eukaryota, Metazoa, Chordata, Lepidosauria, Squamata, Lacertidae.
UGUCCAAGAUGACUCAGCCAGUAGAGCAUGAGACUCUUAAUCUUAGGGUUGUGGGUUCAAGCCCCAUGUUGGGUAA